CGAGUUAUCUGAACCUUCGGGGAACGAUAACGGCGUCGAGCGGCGGACGGGUGAGUAAUGCCUAGGAAAUUGCCCUGAUGUGGGGGAUAACCAUUGGAAACGAUGGCUAAUACCGCAUGAUGCCUACGGGCCAAAGAGGGGGACCUUCGGGCCUCUCGCGUCAGGAUAUGCCUAGGUGGGAUUAGCUAGUUGGUGAGGUAAGGGCUCACCAAGGCGACGAUCCCUAGCUGGUCUGAGAGGAUGAUCAGCCACACUGGAACUGAGACACGGUCCAGACUCCUACGGGAGGCAGCAGUGGGGAAUAUUGCACAAUGGGCGCAAGCCUGAUGCAGCCAUGCCGCGUGUGUGAAGAAGGCCUUCGGGUUGUAAAGCACUUUCAGUCGUGAGGAAGGUAGUGUAGUUAAUAGCUGCAUUAUUUGACGUUAGCGACAGAAGAAGCACCGGCUAACUCCGUGCCAGCAGCCGCGGUAAUACGGAGGGUGCGAGCGUUAAUCGGAAUUACUGGGCGUAAAGCGCAUGCAGGUGGUUUGUUAAGUCAGAUGUGAAAGCCCGGGGCUCAACCUCGGAAUAGCAUUUGAAACUGGCAGACUAGAGUACUGUAGAGGGGGGUAGAAUUUCAGGUGUAGCGGUGAAAUGCGUAGAGAUCUGAAGGAAUACCGGUGGCGAAGGCGGCCCCCUGGACAGAUACUGACACUCAGAUGCGAAAGCGUGGGGAGCAAACAGGAUUAGAUACCCUGGUAGUCCACGCCGUAAACGAUGUCUACUUGGAGGUUGUGGCCUUGAGCCGUGGCUUUCGGAGCUAACGCGUUAAGUAGACCGCCUGGGGAGUACGGUCGCAAGAUUAAAACUCAAAUGAAUUGACGGGGGCCCGCACAAGCGGUGGAGCAUGUGGUUUAAUUCGAUGCAACGCGAAGAACCUUACCUACUCUUGACAUCCAGAGAACUUUCCAGAGAUGGAUUGGUGCCUUCGGGAACUCUGAGACAGGUGCUGCAUGGCUGUCGUCAGCUCGUGUUGUGAAAUGUUGGGUUAAGUCCCGCAACGAGCGCAACCCUUAUCCUUGUUUGCCAGCGAGUAAUGUCGGGAACUCCAGGGAGACUGCCGGUGAUAAACCGGAGGAAGGUGGGGACGACGUCAAGUCAUCAUGGCCCUUACGAGUAGGGCUACACACGUGCUACAAUGGCGCAUACAGAGGGCGGCCAACUUGCGAAAGUGAGCGAAUCCCAAAAAGUGCGUCGUAGUCCGGAUUGGAGUCUGCAACUCGACUCCAUGAAGUCGGAAUCGCUAGUAAUCGUGGAUCAGAAUGCCACGGUGAAUACGUUCCCGGGCCUUGUACACACCGCCCGUCACACCAUGGGGAGUGGGCUGCAAAAGAAGUAGGUAGUUUAACCUUCGGGGGGGACGCUUACCACUUUGUGGUUCAUGACUGGGGGUGAAGUCU
RNAcentral lists this ribosomal RNA (1439 nucleotides) under Vibrio alginolyticus. RNAcentral describes it as "bacterial SSU rRNA". It matches the Rfam family "Bacterial small subunit ribosomal RNA". The record is from RNAcentral. Lineage: Bacteria; Pseudomonadati; Pseudomonadota; Gammaproteobacteria; Vibrionales; Vibrionaceae.